This 307-nucleotide long non-coding RNA is filed under the name Homo sapiens (human). RNAcentral describes it as "LNC_000801". The record is from RNAcentral. Lineage: Eukaryota; Metazoa; Chordata; Mammalia; Primates; Hominidae.
GCACCUCAGAGGGUGGGGCAUUUCCCUUGUCCGUCAAAGUUUUAUUGAUAAAUUCCUUUAUGAUCUUCUCAGGAGCAUUGAUGACCCCAGUGUUGUAGCCAAAUUGGAAAGAGCCGAUUGUAGCAACUGUGAUGGCAAAUAUCAGAGCUGGGGUGACCUUCUGUGUCCCCAUCGCUGUAAUCUAAUUCAAGUCUUCAAGAAAGAUCUAGGGGUGAUUCCAGAAACAGCUUUUUCAGCCAACAAAACCUUCAAAAUGUCCUUCUCAGCAGCAAGUUUUCUCCACGUCCUCAGGAAGGAUCCAAAGUCU